This 1084-nucleotide ribosomal RNA is filed under the name uncultured bacterium. Its description in RNAcentral is "bacterial SSU rRNA". It matches the Rfam family "Bacterial small subunit ribosomal RNA", at positions 448 to 1533 of the family's 1533-position model. The record is from RNAcentral.
AGUAACUGUUGACAUCGUGACGGUAUCCAACCAGAAAGCCACGGCUAACUACGUGCCAGCAGCCGCGGUAAUACGUAGGUGGCAAGCGUUGUCCGGAUUUAUUGGGCGUAAAGGGAACGCAGGCGGUCUUUUAAGUCUGAUGUGAAAGCCUUCGGCUUAACCGAAGUCGUGCAUUGGAAACUGGGGGACUUGAGUGCAGAAGAGGAGAGUGGAACUCCAUGUGUAGCGGUGAAAUGCGUAGAUAUAUGGAAGAACACCAGUGGCGAAAGCGGCUCUCUGGUCUGUAACUGACGCUGAGGUUCGAAAGCGUGGGUAGCAAACAGGAUUAGAUACCCUGGUAGUCCAUGCCGUAAACGAUGAGUGCUAAGUGUUGGAGGGUUUCCGCCCUUCAGUGCUGCAGCUAACGCAUUAAGCACUCCGCCUGGGGAGUACGACCGCAAGGUUGAAACUCAAAGGAAUUGACGGGGGCCCGCACAAGCGGUGGAGCAUGUGGUUUAAUUCGAUGCUACGCGAAGAACCUUACCAGGUCUUGACAUCUUCUGCUAACCUAAGAGAUUAGGCGUUCCCUUCGGGGACGGAAUGACAGGUGGUGCAUGGUUGUCGUCAGCUCGUGUCGUGAGAUGUUGGGUUAAGUCCCGCAACGAGCGCAACCCUUAUUGUCAGUUGCCAGCAUUCAGUUGGGCACUCUGGCGAGACUGCCGGUGACAAACCGGAGGAAGGUGGGGAUGACGUCAAAUCAUCAUGCCCCUUAUGACCUGGGCUACACACGUGCUACAAUGGACGGUACAACGAGUCGCGAAACCGCGAGGUCAAGCUAAUCUCUGAAAGCCGUUCUCAGUUCGGAUUGCAGGCUGCAACUCGCCUGCAUGAAGUUGGAAUCGCUAGUAAUCGUGGAUCAGCAUGCCACGGUGAAUACGUUCCCGGGCCUUGUACACACCGCCCGUCACACCAUGAGAGUUUGUAACACCCAAAGCCGGUGAGGUAACCUUCGGGGGCCAGCCGUCUAAGGUGGGACAGAUGAUUAGGGUGAAGUCGUAACAAGGUAGCCGUAGGAGAACCUGCGGCUGGAUCACCUCCUUUCUAA